This 1600-nucleotide long non-coding RNA is filed under the name Homo sapiens (human). RNAcentral's name for it is "long non-coding RNA NONHSAT152518.1". Lineage: Eukaryota; Metazoa; Chordata; Mammalia; Primates; Hominidae. The record is from RNAcentral.
UGCGGCUCACUCCCCUCGGAUGGUCUUUCCACCCGAGUUUUUCCCGGGAAGAGGCUCUCAAGACUAGCCAGUGCAGGAGGAGGAGUCGAACUCUGGAUAGCCUGUUUAUAAAGCCCUAACUGUGCCGAUGUUGACCGUUUUCUGAAACUCCUCCUCCAAAACCCACGCCAAACCACAAGAUGAAGGAAAUUCACACAUCAGGAUGCCAAAAACCAUGGAAGACUUCUGAUGUUCUGGGAGGGUUGACAAAGAUGGACCUUAAAUUCUAGAAUUUAGGUAUUCAUGGUUGAGAUCCUGAAGAAAACAUUUUCUGCUGAGCAGAAGCAAUUUAAUAAUUGCCUCCCUUCAUUGUAAGUUUUUUAUUUCUUCCUUAUGUCUGAUUAAUCCCCCAAUAUAAACUUCAAUUAAUUGAGCAGCUCUGCAAAAUAUAUGAAUAAAACACCACAUAUUAAGAUAUUGUCAGAAUCCAGAAGUGUCUGCAGCCAACCAAAGAGGGAAUGUUUGAUGGACAGAAGUUGGAAUGGAAGGAGAAAAUGGCUUAUUUUAGUUAAAAUGUUUUACUUUUGGAAAUUUUUUUAAAAACUUAUUUUCACAUAUCACAUAAAUACAUUGUUAGGACCCCUCCCAGGGCCAUAGAAGUGGCCUGCACAGACAUCUGGUUUUAAAGUGGCAGUACAGAAGCAAGCUGGUUUCACUGUCCCCACAGAAAACCAAAAAUAUACAGAGCUGUGAUUUUCCCCAGCAACAGUCCAGAACUCAUAUAUGAGGAUGAGACAGAUCCUAGGGCCAUAAAGAAAAAAACUUCUUUGGAAAAAAACUCCAAGCAGAUGUUAAGGUCGAUCACAAGACUUCUAAUCACAUACUGAGAAAACAAAAGCAUCACUGCAGGAAAUCCCUUUAAACUUUUGCCUUAUGGCAAAUGGACAUAUGCUCAAAGGUGCUGAACACAUGAAAUAAGGCUGUAAAAAUCUACUAAACAAAUGAAAAUAAUUACAUUGCAAAUGCUUUUUUCCUUAGAGCACUUGUUUUAAGAAAUGUAUUUCUGGAAUACAAGCUAGAAGUGGUUUUGUCCUGCUGCUGAGGGUUAAAGGCAAACUUAAGGUCUCCAGCCUUUGGUGUGACACAUGAGAGCGAAUAACAAAAAGAAGGUCUUGAGUUUUUUGAUAGUUAGGCAUAUUUUCAUUAUAAUGGUAUCCAGAUAUGUGAUAUAUCUGAUAUAUAAUACACAUAUAGACACAUAUAUGUCUCUCUAUAUAUUUGUAUAUAGGUAGAUUUUAUUAUAUGUGAAAUCUGCAUAUAACUAUAAUGAAAGUCUCAACUGUUACCUCAAUAACCUUUAACCUGACUACAAUAUUUAAAAGUUCAAUCUCACUACCAGAACACACCCUGACACUUCUGAUUCUAUUUUGCUUUAUGUUUUGCAUAUUGUUUGUCAACUUCUAUCAUAUGACUUAGUAUGUUUAUUAUUUAUUGUCCUCUCUCUCCAUUGAAGAGAAUUUUUGAUUCCUUAAAGAAAAUAUUUCUCACAUGAUCAGUUUUUUAAUUUACAAAAUAUCUCAAUGUCAAUGUACCCAUUUCAAAUAUAUGUGUGUUAAACAUU